AACGCUGGCGGCGUGCCUAAUACAUGCAAGUCGAACGGUCUUUCUAUGGAAGCUUGCUUCCACUGAGAAGAUAGUGGCGAACGGGUGAGUAACACGUGGGUAACCUGCCCAUAAGAGGGGGAUAACAUCCGGAAACGGGUGCUAAUACCGCAUAGUUUUCUUGAUCGCAUGAUCGGGAAAGGAAAGACGGCCUUUGUGCUGUCGCUUAUGGAUGGACCCGCGGCGUAUUAGUUAGUUGGUGAGGUAACGGCUCACCAAGACGAUGAUACGUAGCCGACCUGAGAGGGUGAUCGGCCACAUUGGGACUGAGACACGGCCCAAACUCCUACGGGAGGCAGCAGUAGGGAAUCUUCCGCAAUGGACGAAAGUCUGACGGAGCAACGCCGCGUGAGUGAAAGAAGGUUUUCGGAUCGUAAAACUCUGUUGUCAGAGAAGAACAAGUUGGAGAGUAACUGCUCCAGCCUUGACGGUAUCUGACCAGAAAGCCACGGCUAACUACGUGCCAGCCGCCGC
This 513-nucleotide ribosomal RNA is filed under the name uncultured bacterium. RNAcentral's name for it is "bacterial SSU rRNA". It matches the Rfam family "Bacterial small subunit ribosomal RNA", at positions 32 to 518 of the family's 1533-position model. The record is from RNAcentral.